Bos taurus (domestic cattle) is the source of this 1006-nucleotide long non-coding RNA. The record is from Ensembl. Lineage: Eukaryota; Metazoa; Chordata; Mammalia; Artiodactyla; Bovidae.
GAUGAAUUUUAUUGUAAUAAUAUAGUUGAUUUAACCCAAUACAUAAAAACAUCAUCACUUCAACAUGUAAUCAGUAUAAAAACUAAUAAGAUCUUCACCUUCUUUUUGAAUACCAAGGUUUUGAAAUCCAGGAAGUAUUUUUAAAGUAUGUUUACAUUUAUAGUACAUGUCAAUUCGGACUCAAAUAAGCAUGAGCCUAGUGGUGGUUGUAUUGGACACUAUAACCCUAGAUCAGUUUCCAGUCUUCUCUGUCCUCCUCUGUGCCCUUGGAGGUUGAUCUGGGCUUGCAUCACUCAGCUCUCUUGUCCUCAGAUUUCCAGAUAGCCUUGGGCAAUAGAAGGCACUAUUAAAAGCUGGUAAACACCCAAGGUAAGGCCAGCUCAGGGUCUGCCUCGACCACUGCAUUUCUCCUUCCCUACUCUUCCCCCACUCCAGUACUCUUGCCUGGAAAAUCCCAUGAACGGAGGAGCCUGGUGGGCUGCAGUCCAUGGAAUCGCUAAAAGUUGGACACGACUGAGCGACUUCACUUUCACUUUUCACUUUCAUGUAUUGGAGGAGGAAAUGGCAACCCACUCCAGUGUUCUUGCCUGGAGAAUCCCAGGGAAGGCGGGGCCUGGUGGGCUGCCGUCUCUGGGGUCGCACAGAGUCGGAUACGACUGAAGCGAGUUAGCAGCAGCAGCAGCAGCAACUCUUCCCUUGCUGGUAUGGAAGCCCCAUUUUACAGAUGUAAAAACUAAGGCUCAGGGCUAUUAAAUCUUUGUAUUUUCCCCCCACUAUGGAUAAACCUCUCAGAGCCACAGUAAGAGAACGCCUGAGAGAAACAAAACAAUAAUUGGUAUAUCUUUCAGGUAACGGUGGGAAAAUACAAGUUGUUAGUGCUUCUCUUGAGAGCAGAUUUAGCAUAAGUCAGACCCCACUGAAUCUGCUUGCAAUGCGGGACACCUGCGUGGAUCCUUAGGUCGGGAAAAUCCCUUGGAGGAGGAAAUGGCAACCCACUCCAGUAUUC